GACGAACGCUGGCGGCGUGCUUAACACAUGCAAGUCGAACGGAAAGGCCCUGCUUUUGUGGGGUGCUCGAGUGGCGAACGGGUGAGUAACACGUGAGUAACCUUCCCUUGACUUUGGGAUAACUUCAGGAAACUGGGGCUAAUACCGGAUAGGAGCUCCUGCUGCAUGGUGGGGGUUGGAAAGUUUCGGCGGUUGGGGAUGGACUCGCGGCUUAUCAGCUUGUUGGUGGGGUAGUGGCUUACCAAGGCUUUGACGGGUAGCCGGCCUGGGAGGGUGACCGGCCACAUUGGGACUGAGAUACGGCCCAGACUCCUACGGGAGGCAGCAGUGGGGAAUAUUGCACAAUGGGCGGAAGCCUGAUGCAGCAACGCCGCGUGCGGGAUGACGGCCUUCGGGUUGUAAACCGCUUUCGCCUGUGACGAAGCGUGAGUGACGGUAAUGGGUAAAGAAGCACCGGCUAACUACGUG
RNAcentral lists this ribosomal RNA (468 nucleotides) under uncultured bacterium. RNAcentral's name for it is "partial 16S ribosomal RNA". It matches the Rfam family "Bacterial small subunit ribosomal RNA", at positions 28 to 507 of the family's 1533-position model. The record is from RNAcentral.